CUAAUGCAUGCAAGUCGACGCUGAAGCAUUCUGCUUGCAGAGUGCGGAUGAGUGGCGACGGUGAGUAACACGUGGGAAAUCGCCUAUAAGUGGGGGAUAACAUUCGGAACGGAUGCUAAUCCGCAUAUAUUCUUGGACCGCCUGGUCCUUGAAAGAAAGACGGCUUUGCUGUCGCUUAUAGAUGAUCCCGCGGCGUAUUAGUUAGUUGGUGGGGUAAAGGCCUACCAAGACAAUGAUACGUAGCCGACCUGAGAGGGUGAUCGGCCACACUGGGACUGAGACACGGCCCAGACUCCUACGGGAGGCAGCAGUAGGGAAUCUUCCACAAUGGGCGAAAGCCUGAUGGAGCAAUGCCGGCGUGAAUGAAGAAGGUCUUCGGAUCGUAAAGUUCUGUUAUUAGAGAAGAACAAGUCAAGGAGUAACUGAUCUUGACUUUGACGGGUACCUAACCAGAAA
Molecule: ribosomal RNA, 456 nt
Filed under: Atopostipes sp. oral taxon B55
Lineage: Bacteria; Bacillati; Bacillota; Bacilli; Lactobacillales; Carnobacteriaceae
Description: bacterial SSU rRNA
Rfam family: Bacterial small subunit ribosomal RNA
Source: RNAcentral